AGUGAACGCUGGCGGUAGGCCUAACACAUGCAAGUCGAACGGCAGCACAGUAAGAGCUUGCUCUUACGGGUGGCGAGUGGCGGACGGGUGAGGAAUACAUCGGAAUCUACUUUUUCGUGGGGGAUAACGUAGGGAAACUUACGCUAAUACCGCAUACGGCCUACGGGUGAAAGCAGGGGAUCUUCGGACCUUGCGCGAUUGAAUGAGCCGAUGUCGGAUUAGCUAGUUGGCGGGGUAAAGGCCCACCAAGGCGACGAUCCGUAGCUGGUCUGAGAGGAUGAUCAGCCACACUGGAACUGAGACACGGUCCAGACUCCUACGGGAGGCAGCAGUGGGGAAUAUUGGACAAUGGGCGCAAGCCUGAUCCAGCCAUACCGCGUGGGUGAAGAAGGCCUUCGGGUUGUAAAGCCCUUUUGUUGGGAAAGAAAAGCAGCAGGCUAAUACCCCGCUGUUCUGACGGUACCCAAAGAAUAAGCACCGGCUAACUUCGUG
Molecule: ribosomal RNA, 492 nt
Filed under: uncultured bacterium
Lineage: Bacteria
Description: partial 16S ribosomal RNA
Rfam family: Bacterial small subunit ribosomal RNA
Source: RNAcentral